AAUUUUGAGCAGUCGCGGUUAGCUUUUGCUAGCUGAGGAAAGUCCACGCACGCACAAGCUGCGAUGCUUGUAGUGAUCGUAUUCAGCUCAACAAGCUGGAGAAUAUUUUUUUAAUAUGACGGCGGAAAAAGUGCUAAGUCUUCGUGAUAUGCAUGACUAUCCUGAAAAGUGCCACAGUGACGUAGCAAAAUUGGAAACAAUUUUGGUGGAACGAGGUAAACCCUGCGAGUGUGCAACCCAAAUUUGGUGGGGGCGUCUCGACCUAAGAAAAUGAACUAAAGGUCGGAUUAUUGCUCUAAGCAAUAAAGAUAGAUGGCUGCUAAAGAUAAUUUUUGCCGAAGAUUAUUGGAACAGAACGUGGCUUAUAGAA
This 370-nucleotide RNase P RNA is filed under the name Lactobacillus xujianguonis. RNAcentral describes it as "Bacterial RNase P class B". It matches the Rfam family "Bacterial RNase P class B". Rfam says of the family: Ribonuclease P (RNase P) is a ubiquitous endoribonuclease, found in archaea, bacteria and eukarya as well as chloroplasts and mitochondria. Its best characterised activity is the generation of mature 5'-ends of tRNAs by cleaving the 5'-leader elements of precursor-tRNAs. Lineage: Bacteria; Bacillati; Bacillota; Bacilli; Lactobacillales; Lactobacillaceae. The record is from Rfam by way of RNAcentral.